RNAcentral lists this unclassified non-coding RNA (400 nucleotides) under uncultured fungus. RNAcentral describes it as "sequence contains ITS1". Lineage: Eukaryota; Fungi. The record is from RNAcentral.
GGACUACCGGGGUUUCUAAUCCUGUUUGCUCCCCACGCUUUCGCACCUCAGCGUCAGUACCGAGCCAGUGAGCCGCCUUCGCCACUGGUGUUCUUCCUAAUAUCUACGAAUUUCACCUCUACACUAGGAAUUCCACUCACCUCUCUCGGACUCAAGACUGGCAGUAUUGAAGGCAGUUCCGAGGUUGAGCCCCGGGAUUUCACCCCCAACUGACCAGUCAGCCUACGUGCGCUUUACGCCCAGUGAUUCCGAACAACGCUAGCCCCCUUCGUAUUACCGCGGCUGCUGGCACGAAGUUAGCCGGGGCUUAUUCUGCGGGUACCGUCAUUAUCGUCCCCGCCAAAAGAGCUUUACAACCCUAAGGCCUUCGUCACUCACGCGGCAUGGCUGGAUCAGGCUU